This 256-nucleotide ribosomal RNA is filed under the name Cronobacter sakazakii. Its description in RNAcentral is "partial 16S ribosomal RNA". It matches the Rfam family "Bacterial small subunit ribosomal RNA", at positions 1 to 252 of the family's 1533-position model. Lineage: Bacteria; Pseudomonadati; Pseudomonadota; Gammaproteobacteria; Enterobacterales; Enterobacteriaceae. The record is from RNAcentral.
UUAAUUGAAGAGUUUGAUCAUGGCUCAGAUUGAACGCUGGCGGCAGGCCUAACACAUGCAAGUCGAACGGUAACAGGGAGCAGCUUGCUACUUUGCCGGCGAGCGGCGGACGGGUGAGUAAUGUCUGGGGAUCUGCCUGAUGGAGGGGGAUAACUACUGGAAACGGUAGCUAAUACCGCAUAACGUCGCAAGACCAAAGCGGGGGACCUUCGGGCCUCGCGCCAUCAGGUGAACCCAGGUGGGAUUAGCUAGUAGG